UGCAAGUCGUGCGGACCUUUUAAAAGCUUGCUUUUAAAAGGUUAGCGGCGGACGGGUGAGUAACACGUGGGCAACCUGCCUGUAAGACCGGGAUAACGUCGGGAAACCGGGGCUAAUACCGGAUAGUUUUUUCCUCCGCAUGGAGGAAAAAGGAAAGGCGGCUUCGGCUGUCACUUACAGAUGGGCCCGCGGCGCAUUAGCUAGUUGGCGGGGUAACGGCCCACCAAGGCAACGAUGCGUAGCCGACCUGAGAGGGUGAUCGGCCACAUUGGGACUGAGACACGGCCCAAACUCCUACGGGAGGCAGCAGUAGGGAAUCUUCCGCAAUGGACGAAAGUCUGACGGAGCAACGCCGCGUGAGUGAAGAAGGCCUUCGGGUCGUAAAACUCUGUUGCCGGGGAAGAACAAGUGCCGUUCGAACAGGGCGGCGCCUUGACGGUACCCGGCCAGAAAGCCACGGCUAACUAC
RNAcentral lists this ribosomal RNA (468 nucleotides) under uncultured bacterium. Its description in RNAcentral is "bacterial SSU rRNA". It matches the Rfam family "Bacterial small subunit ribosomal RNA", at positions 56 to 504 of the family's 1533-position model. The record is from RNAcentral.